Molecule: ribosomal RNA, 406 nt
Filed under: uncultured bacterium
Lineage: Bacteria
Description: bacterial SSU rRNA
Rfam family: Bacterial small subunit ribosomal RNA
Source: RNAcentral
UAGGGAAUAUUGCACAAUGGAGGAAACUCUGAUGCAGCGACGCCGCGUGAGUGAUGAAGGCCUUCGGGUCGUAAAGCUCUGUCGCAGGGGAAUAAGACAGUGAAUGUACCCUGCAAGAAAGGAUCGGCUAACUUCGUGCCAGCAGCCGCGGUAAGACGAGGGAUCCUAGCGUUGUUCGGAAUCAUUGGGCGUAAAGCGGGUGUAGGUGGCUUUGUAAGUCAGGUGUGAAAUCCCAGGGCUCAACCCUGGACGUGCAUUUGAUACUGCGAAGCUUGAGUGUAGGAGAGGAUAGUAGAAUUCCUGGUGUAGUGGUGAAAUACGUAGAUAUCAGGAGGAAUACCGGAGGCGAAGGCGGCUAUCUGGCCUAACACUGACACUCAGACCCGAAAGCGUGGGGAUCAAACAG